RNAcentral lists this ribosomal RNA (450 nucleotides) under uncultured bacterium. RNAcentral describes it as "bacterial SSU rRNA". It matches the Rfam family "Bacterial small subunit ribosomal RNA", at positions 330 to 794 of the family's 1533-position model. The record is from RNAcentral.
GCCAGACUCCUACGGGAGGCAGCAGUGGGGAAUAUUGCACAAUGGGGGAAACCCUGAUGCAGCGACGCCGCGUGAGCGAAGAAGUAUUUCGGUAUGUAAAGCUCUAUCAGCAGGGAAGAAAAAAAUGACGGUACCUGAGUAAGAAGCACCGGCUAAAUACGUGCCAGCAGCCGCGGUAAUACGUAUGGUGCAAGCGUUAUCCGGAUUUACUGGGUGUAAAGGGAGCGUAGGCGGCGCGUUAAGUCUGAUGUGAAAACCCGAGGCCCAACCACGGGAGUGCAUUGGAAACUGGCGGGCUGGAGUGCCGGAGAGGUAAGCGGAAUUCCUAGUGUAGCGGUGAAAUGCGUAGAUAUUAGGAGGAACACCAGUGGCGAAGGCGGCUUACUGGACGGCAACUGACGCUGAGGCUCGAAAGCGUGGGGAGCAAACAGGAUUAGAUACCCGAGUACC